ACAGAGGGUGCGAGCGUUGUCCGGAAUCACUGGGCGUAAAGGGUGCGUAGGCGGGUUCUUAGGUCAGAGGUGAAAUCCUGGAGCUCAACUCCAGAACUGCCUUUGAUACUGAGAGUCUUGAGUAUGACAGAGGUGAGUGGAAUUCCCAGUGCAGCGGUGAAAUGCGUAGAUAUUGGGAGGAACACCAGUGGCGAAGGCGGCUCACUGGACCGGUACUGACGCUGAUGCGCGAAAGCGUGGGGAGCAAACGGGA
Molecule: ribosomal RNA, 253 nt
Filed under: uncultured prokaryote
Description: partial 16S ribosomal RNA
Rfam family: Bacterial small subunit ribosomal RNA
Source: RNAcentral